This 1479-nucleotide long non-coding RNA is filed under the name Anser cygnoides (Swan goose). RNAcentral describes it as "lncRNA (ENSACDG00005010517.1)". Lineage: Eukaryota; Metazoa; Chordata; Aves; Anseriformes; Anatidae. The record is from RNAcentral.
AGGAGAUCAGACUAAAGGCCCCAAGUUCCAGCUUCCUGCGUCUGAAAGAAGCUAGGUCAGGAUUUUGCAAACAGGACCAAGAAAUCAAUUUUGUGACCCAUUGAUAAGGACCUUACAGACGGGGAAGUUUCUUUCACAGCCUUUCAUUCCUGCUCACCUUAGACCUUGGACGUAUUGAUGGGAAUCCCAAAUAGAAGGAAUUUACCUGCUGCUAAUUUGGGUACCACAGGGCUUAGCCUGUGGUACAUAUAUCUGAAAGCUACUUUUAGAAGACAUUUUGGAAGACACGAAGCCUGUAUACUUCAGACAAGAAGCCUAAUAACUUGGGGCACAGACCAACUGAAAAUCAAUUCCACAUGUUUGAGGCUUCUGUACUCUAGCUGAUAAGGUUCUCUUUUCCAUUUACAGGGCUCUCCAAUCUGCAGUGAACUGUUUUAUCGUCUGAGACUCGGGCUGCCGUCCCACAAGCCGUACUUGGGAAACCACUAACUGAUGUUAGAUUUACACAGGAUGCACAAGAAGCACACGUUCAUGUCGGAAGUCUCUGGAGAAGCAGAGACCACUGGCCAGGUCCUGCAGUCCCAGUGCCAAGCUGCCUAUGGGCCCAAACAGAAGAAAGAAAAAUGCUGGACCUAUGACCUGGGAAACUGCAAUCAUAAAUAUCUCCUGUUUGCCUCUGAGCAAGCCCUGGCCCUCCUGGCCACUCAGACCAGCGACCUCUGUAGAAAGGGCCAGUGUCUUGCAGAGCAGAGCCAGUCUCUCCUGAAAUUUUUUUCCUUUCAGUUUGAGCUGGAAAUAGCACAAUAUCCUUUACUAACUACUUUGGCAGCUCUUUGUCUGAAUCAGAAAGUUCAGACACAGAGUGAAAAAAAAAAAAAAAAGGAAAAAGAGAAGACAAGAUCCAAAUAUCUUUGUAGUUUUUUUCUUUUUCUGUAACAGUAGCCUGAAUUGUUUUGGUCAGUAAAGGGUUAAAGUGCUCAUUUGCACUGAAGUAGGUGGCUACACUAUUAGAGGCAAUGACAGUAUUGUUAUUAGCACAAAUGAAAACAGGAUCUAGCUCUUCAUCACCCAUCUACCCUCCCGAUAAUCCCACCAAUCUUGAGGGAAUAUAGGUUUCCUUUGACUAUUACAUGUUUUUCUACAUUGUCCUUGGACCCCAUCUGCGUCCUCUACCUGAAUUAAAAUGAACCCUCCUUUCUUUAUCCUCCCUCUGACUUCAUUCCCACUGACCCUCUAUUCAGCUGAUCUCAUUUAAGACUGAGUGUAUUUUAUUUCUUUUAUGACUUUGUCUUCUGCAAGAAACUCCCAGUCUUUCCAACAUCGAGCCACGUGUGCCAUUCUGUCUGCAUCAAAAAUCAGAUCAUUCCUUCAAAAUAAGAACUGGCACCGGGUCAAAGUCCUGAAGAUGAAAGGAAGGGUUAAGUUUACUUUCAAUAUUGGAGGAGGGUUCGGAAAUAAAUGUCGAGGUUAAAAAGUCCA